GAGCAGGGGUGAGGAUGGAGAGCAAAUGCCAUCCUCGUUGUUUUUUUGUUUUUGUUUUUUUGUUUUUACACAAUAGAGGCCUGCCCCGGAGGCUAAAUGACCCAGUAACACACAAACAGCAAAACAAAGGCUGAGUCAGGACCUGGCUGGGUCUCAGGCCUUACCCCCAGAGCAGCUACUUCCUCCUAAAUACCUCUAAGCCCUCAUAUCUUGGGCCUUUAGUUUUAGCACCUGGGCUGCCAUGCUUUUGCUCCUAGUUACGCUGUUUCCACCACCUCCAUCUGGGGAUCUCUGUGGAAGUGAAACCGCACCGCAGAUGGGACUCAAGCCCUAUUGUGCCUCAGAUGGGACUUGAACCUACAAUCUUUAGCUUAGGAAAGGGGUUUGAACCCCAAAUCUCCCAGCUGAAACUGCAUACGUCGUCUCAGGACUUAAAGAAGCUCAGGUUCUUUGAGUCUUGGCGAGAAAGAAUUCGGGUAGGCAGACUGAGGUGUUCAGCCCUUGAGUGUACUUUUCUGAGGGGCCCGGAACACUCUGGCUGGAUCCCAGGCUGACAGGAAAGCAGGUGCUCAUUUUCUGGAGGCCACCCAGGUCCUUACUGGUAGAGUCCCUGCUCAGGCCACACCUAUCGGUGCCAGGACAGCAACAUCUAGAUGAGUGUAUGAGUGAAGAACUGGGAGAACUGCUGGUAUACCAUGAGCCACACCACACUGGCAUGUGGGAUCUUAAUUCCCUGACCAGGGAUCAAACCUCUGUUCCCUGCAGGAGAAGCUAGGAUUCUCAACCACUGGACUGCCAGAGAAGUCCCUAGAAGAGCUCUUUAUAUGUUAAGGAUCUUUCCUACCUUAAUGACUUUGUCUUAUGUAUUUUAUCUGGAACCCCACCCUCCUCCUUGUUGCAUCCAGAAACACCAUUCAUUCUUUACAGCUCAAGUCAAACCCACAUUGCCCAGAGGCCAUGCCUGACUUUACCAGUGCUCACUUAUCAACUCCUCUUCGUUCAUUUCUUACCCUGUUCUGUGCUUUAUGUUUAUUGAUUACUCUUGGCUCCCCAGCUGGGAUGUUGAGUGCUUUUUACUACAGGGAUUCAAAGAGAUUCGGGUAUUAGACUAAGCAUGUGAUAUGCACAAAACUAGUAUCAGUAAACCGAUGAAUUGAUGCCUUGAACUGGAAAUCAAAAUUGGAGGUUUUGUCUUCACAUUUCCUAUGUUUAUUACAAAUACAUAUCACCAUACACC
Molecule: long non-coding RNA, 1237 nt
Organism: Bos taurus (domestic cattle)
Lineage: Eukaryota; Metazoa; Chordata; Mammalia; Artiodactyla; Bovidae
Source: Ensembl